This 339-nucleotide ribosomal RNA is filed under the name Triticum aestivum (bread wheat). RNAcentral's name for it is "partial small subunit ribosomal RNA". Lineage: Eukaryota; Viridiplantae; Streptophyta; Magnoliopsida; Poales; Poaceae. The record is from RNAcentral.
AUGAAGACGUGGCCAGUGCGACGUCGUGUUGCGGCUGAAGCCGGCGGUUCAAGGCUGUGGAGGCGGCUUGCGGUUGAGGAUGUGGCCCGUAGCGAGGCGGCUCGCGGGGGAUGCAGAGCACCCACAACUGCAGCCGCUGUGACUCGGGGGCGGGGGCACGCAGGGGACCGGCGAACCAGCGCAACACAAUUAGUUCGGGCGAGGCGACGAGCCAAGGCGCGGCAGCACGGGUCACAGUCAGCGCGGAUGGGGUGGCACGGCACGCGGGGUCAGUCGGAACCCAUGAGUGGGCGGCUGCGUGUGUGUAGGCGCAGCGGCAGGCGGCCGCGGGCGGAUUGA